AUUUGCUAGUUCGUUGUCGUGUGUGAAACAUGUGGUGUGCAUCUGACGGGCGAAAUAUUGGACACAUCAGGCAGCAAUGGGAAUAUCACAAGUUGUGAACAAGACAUGGUGCCUUGGCCCUUGUUCUCUCAUCUCCAUGCCAGAUGGCCAUUAAGAAGGAUCAUAGAUGUGUGGCAAUAUCAUUCCUCCAUAUUCCACUAUUGUAUUAUUCAUUGCCAUUAUUUUCAUCUCAUACCAUGAACGCAAGAAGAAUUUAUUUGCUUGCUAUCAUGGACGGUAACUUGUGUCCUUAAAAAUCCUGAGCACUGAGAAAAGAUUGUUGCUGAUGUAGAAUUUUGUAAUGGUGGACCCCACAGUCCAUGACAGAAACAAGUAGGACAGAAAAUUCCAUCUUCUUCGAAAAGAAAAGGGGAGGUUUGCAUUUUAAGG
Daphnia carinata is the source of this 429-nucleotide long non-coding RNA. RefSeq lists it as uncharacterized. The record is from RefSeq and is a predicted model, not a curated record. Lineage: Eukaryota; Metazoa; Arthropoda; Branchiopoda; Diplostraca; Daphniidae. The transcript has 3 exons.